CACUCCCUAGUUGGAAGCCUUAGGAAGCUGUGCUAAUACAUUGUUGGACUGGCGGUUUGUGUUUUUAUGUCCUUCAUUUUCUUUCCCAUCAUCGUUUCCCUCUUCCUGCCUUGGCUUGCUUUACUGAUUUCCAAGGCUAGGUUCUGGUUCCCUCUUGACCUUCUCAGAUCAUGUUCCAUUCAGAGAGGGGUGGAGGGUGAGCUGUAUGUAUCCACUGAGGUAUGACCAGGAAAAGGUGGUCUUUUUCGCUUCACCUGGAGCAGAGCAGGUUUUGUUGAGACUCAAAGUGAAAAUUCUCCAAAGUUAUGCCAUGAC
Molecule: long non-coding RNA, 315 nt
Filed under: Bos taurus (domestic cattle)
Lineage: Eukaryota; Metazoa; Chordata; Mammalia; Artiodactyla; Bovidae
Description: long non-coding RNA NONBTAT023005
Source: RNAcentral